GAUGAACGCUAGCUACAGGCUUAACACAUGCAAGUCGAGGGGAAACGACAUCGAAAGCUUGCUUUUGAUGGGCGUCGACCGGCGCACGGGUGAGUAACGCGUAUCCAACCUGCCCAUCACUUGGGGAUAACCUUGCGAAAGUAAGACUAAUACCCAAUGAUAUCUCUAGAAGACAUCUGAAAGAGAUUAAAGAUUUAUCGGUGAUGGAUGGGGAUGCGUCUGAUUAGCUUGUUGGCGGGGUAACGGCCCACCAAGGCAACGAUCAGUAGGGGUUCUGAGAGGAAGGUCCCCCACAUUGGAACUGAGACACGGUCCAAACUCCUACGGGAGGCAGCAGUGAGGAAUAUUGGUCAAUGGGCGAGAGCCUGAACCAGCCAAGUAGCGUGCAGGAAGACGGCCCUAUGGGUUGUAAACUGCUUUUAUAAGGGAAUAAAGUGAGAGUCGUGACUCUUUUUGUAUGUACCUUAUGAAAAAGGACCGGCUAAUUCCGUG
RNAcentral lists this ribosomal RNA (492 nucleotides) under uncultured bacterium. Its description in RNAcentral is "partial 16S ribosomal RNA". It matches the Rfam family "Bacterial small subunit ribosomal RNA", at positions 28 to 507 of the family's 1533-position model. The record is from RNAcentral.